UACGAAGGGGGCUAGCGUUGUUCGGAAUCACUGGGCGUAAAGCGCACGUAGGCGGCUUGUUAAGUCAGGGGUGAAAUCCUGGAGCUCAACUCCAGAACUGCCUUUGAUACUGGCGAGCUUGAGUUCGGGAGAGGUGAGUGGAACUGCGAGUGUAGAGGUGAAAUUCGUAGAUAUUCGCAAGAACACCAGUGGCGAAGGCGGCUCACUGGCCCGAUACUGACGCUGAGGUGCGAAAGCGUGGGGAGCAAACAGG
RNAcentral lists this ribosomal RNA (253 nucleotides) under uncultured bacterium. Its description in RNAcentral is "partial 16S ribosomal RNA". It matches the Rfam family "Bacterial small subunit ribosomal RNA", at positions 524 to 776 of the family's 1533-position model. The record is from RNAcentral.